GUUCCCCCAUGCUUAAAUGUCUCAUCCUCUUUCGGUCCUGUGCCAGAGUGUUGUCGUUUCUUUUUGUGUUUAUUUGCCACAGCCCUGCCCACAGUUAUUGAGAGUUUUGUUUUGCCUUUUGCCUACUUGGGAGAGUUUUGUUUCUAACUUUUUCAGGACAGAGUGAGGAAUCGUCGAACAAAAAGCUUUAUUUGUUUCAGUGAGCCUCAGACAUGAACUGCAGCACCCAGGGAAUUUUUUUUUUUUUUUUUUUUUAUUUUUGGAUAGAGAAAUAAUAAUACAGAUGUCAUCAGUGUUUGAACCUGACAACUUCUUGGUCCUUCGAGCCGAAUUCCAACACAUCUGACAAUUCCGGCAGGGUGAGUUGAACCAGAGGACCAUGGCAAACAUCUCCUGAUUGAGGAAUUGCUUUUCUUUUCUCCGGCUGGAAUCUGAAGAAUGACGGAAAACCUAGGGCAGGAGGAAGGAACCCAGAGUUCACUGGCCGACUCGCAGCAACUCGGAAUACCCUGCAGCAGCAAGCUACCACAAUGGAUGAGGGGACUGGACCCAGCCGGCCCCAACCAAGACAGGCACCCGGAAAGGAUGGACGGUGGGACCCAGGAGCUCCAGACAUGUAGCCCGGAUGCAGUAGCCUGAAGCGCCGACCCCGAUUGACCAGCAUGCCCAGAGCGUAACCCCAGAAAUAUACGUACACACA
Long non-coding RNA from Nerophis ophidion (straightnose pipefish), 700 nucleotides. RefSeq lists it as uncharacterized. The record is from RefSeq and is a predicted model, not a curated record. The transcript is spliced from 4 exons. Lineage: Eukaryota; Metazoa; Chordata; Actinopteri; Syngnathiformes; Syngnathidae.